This 1628-nucleotide long non-coding RNA is filed under the name Strigops habroptila (Kakapo). Its description in RNAcentral is "lncRNA (ENSSHBG00005007320.1)". The record is from RNAcentral. Lineage: Eukaryota; Metazoa; Chordata; Aves; Psittaciformes; Psittacidae.
UUUUUUUUUUUUAAAGUUUCAUUCACUUUUUGCUCAGGUUUUGUUUGCCCAGGUUUUGUUCAGUUUUCUUCAGAUUUGGCUUAGUCACUUUUAGUAAGAUUUUCUUUUUUUUUUUAGAUACCCUGUAGUGACCCAGAGCAACCCCUGGCCACCUCAUAUUGCCCCAUAGAGCCCAGUAGAUCCCUUCUAUGCCCCCCCAGCCUCAUAGACUCCCUAUAGAUAUCCCGUAGGGUCUCAGAGCGACCCAUAGGCACCCUACAUGAACUCUUGAUGAACCACGGAGAUGCCAUAGUGAUCUCCAGACACCCAUAGGCGGCUCCUAGUGACCUAUAGACAUCCCAUAGCCAUCCACAGCACCCCAUGGACACCCUAUAGACAUCCCAUAGAGAGUCACAGUGACUGAUAGACACCCCACAGCAACCCAUGGAUACUCCAAAGUGACUCACAGAUGUCCCAUAGAGGCUCAUAGAUCCCCGUAAUGACCCACUGCAACCUACAGAUAUCCCAUAGCCACCCUAUAGAGAGCCCCGGACCCCUUGUAGCUUGCCACGACCACCCAUAGACACCCCAUAGAGACACACAGCAACUGCUAGAUCCCCCAUAGACCCACAUGUGGCCACAUGACAACGCAUAGAGCUCUAUACGCACCCUGCACUGCCACCUAGCAGCUUAUAGACCCCCUCCCCACUGCGCCAUAGUUCCUUAUAGAUGCACAACACACGCCUCACGGCUUUUAUUGACUUAUGGUGUUGUGAUGUCACUGGGGCCGUGAUGACAUCAUAGAAUCAUAGAAUCGUAAGGGUUGGAAAGGACCUUAAGAUCAUCUAGUUCCAACCCCCCUGCCAUGGGCAGGGACACCUUGCCCUAAACCACGUGGUUCAAGGCUCUGUCCAACCUGGCCUUGAACACCGCCAGGGAUGGAGCAUCCACAACCUCCCUGGGCAACCCAUUCCAGUGCUUCACCACCCUCACUGUAAAGAACUUCUUCCUUAUAUCUAGUCUAAACUUCCCCUGUUUAAGUUUGAACCCAUUACCCCUUGUCCUACCACUACAGUCCCUAAGGAAGAGUCCCUCCCCAGCAUCCUUGUAUCAUCCGCAUCAUCAAUAGCACGGCACCCUAUAGGGACCUCCAAGAGCCCCAUGGGGGGUCCGCAAGUGCCCUAUGGGGCUCCCAGUACUCCCCCGCACCCCGUAAGUACCCCAAUACCAAUCAAUUUUUUUUUUUUGUUGACUUUCAUUCAUUUUUAUUUGAGUUUUAUUUAGGCUUGUUCAUUUUUAUUCAGUUUUAUUCACUGUUUAACCACUUUAUUCACUUUAAUCAGUUGCUGUGGGUCUCUAUGGGGUGUCUAUGGGUGGCCGUGGCUCACUAUAGGGUGUCUAUGGGGUAUAUAUAGGUCGCAAUGGGUCACUAUGGGGAUCUAUGGGUCUCUAUGGGGCAUCUAUGAGUCACUGUGGAGUAUCCAUGGGUCGCUGUGGGGUGUCUAUAGGGACUCUAUGAGGCUGGGGGUCCUAUAAAGGAUCGAAGGGGGUGUCUGUGGGAUGUCCAGGGGUUGCUCUGGGUCACUAUGGGGAAUCUAAAAAAGAAAAUGUUACUAAAAGUGACUAAAUCAAAUCGCAAGAAAACUGAA